GAUGAACGCUGGCGGCGUGCCUAAUACAUGCAAGUCGAGCGAAUGGAUUAAGAGCUUGCUCUUAUGAAGUUAGCGGCGGACGGGUGAGUAACACGUGGGUAACCUGCCCAUAAGACUGGGAUAACUCCGGGAAACCGGGGCUAAUACCGGAUAACAUUUUGAACCGCAUGGUUCGAAAUUGAAAGGCGGCUUCGGCUGUCACUUAUGGAUGGACCCGCGUCGCAUUAGCUAGUUGGUGAGGUAACGGCCCACCAAGGCAACGAUGCGUAGCCGACCUGAGAGGGUGAUCGGCCACGCUGGGACUGAGACACGGCCCAGACUCCUACGGGAGGCAGCAGUAGGGAAUCUUCCGCAAUGGACGAAAGUCUGACGGUGCAACGCCGCGUGAGUGAUGAAGGCUUUCGGGUCGUAAAACUCUGUUGUUAGGGAAGAACAAGUGCUAGUUGAAUAAGCUGGCACCUUGACGGUACCUAACCAGAAAGCCACGGCUAACUACGUGCCAGCCGCCGCGGUAA
This 515-nucleotide ribosomal RNA is filed under the name uncultured bacterium. Its description in RNAcentral is "partial 16S ribosomal RNA". It matches the Rfam family "Bacterial small subunit ribosomal RNA", at positions 28 to 523 of the family's 1533-position model. The record is from RNAcentral.